CCUCGGGGGCAGCAGUGGGGAAUAUUGGACAAUGGGCGAAAGCCUGAUCCAGCCAUGCCGCGUGUGUGAAGAAGGCCUUCGGGUUGUAAAGCACUUUCAGUGGGGAAGAAAGCCUUGGGGCUAAUACCCUCGAGGAAGGACAUCACCCACAGAAGAAGCACCGGCUAACUCCGUGCCAGCAGCCGCGGUAAUACGGAGGGUGCGAGCGUUAAUCGGAAUUACUGGGCGUAAAGCGCGCGUAGGCGGUCUGAUAAGCCGGUUGUGAAAGCCCCGGGCUCAACCUGGGAACGGCAUCCGGAACUGUCAGGCUAGAGUGCAGGAGAGGAAGGUAGAAUUCCCGGUGUAGCGGUGAAAUGCGUAGAGAUCGGGAGGAAUACCAGUGGCGAAGGCGGCCUUCUGGACUGACACUGACGCUGAGGUGCGAAAGCGUGGGUAGCAAACAGGAUUAGAUACCCUAGUAGUC
Molecule: ribosomal RNA, 463 nt
Filed under: Vreelandella stevensii
Lineage: Bacteria; Pseudomonadati; Pseudomonadota; Gammaproteobacteria; Oceanospirillales; Halomonadaceae
Description: partial 16S ribosomal RNA
Rfam family: Bacterial small subunit ribosomal RNA
Source: RNAcentral